Molecule: ribosomal RNA, 533 nt
Filed under: Hydromantes platycephalus (Mount Lyell salamander)
Lineage: Eukaryota; Metazoa; Chordata; Amphibia; Caudata; Plethodontidae
Description: partial 16S ribosomal RNA
Rfam family: Bacterial large subunit ribosomal RNA
Source: RNAcentral
CGCCCCUUGAUUUAAAACCAUAGGGGGUACUGCCUGCCCAGUGAUAAAUAUUCAACGGCCGCGGUAUUAUGACCGUGCAAAGGUAGCGUAAUCACUUGUCUUUUAAAUAAAGACCAGUAUGAAUGGCAAAACGAAAGCUUAACUGUCUCCUUAAAUUGAUUAGUGAAAUUGAUCUCCCCGUGCAGAAGCGGGAAUAUUAAUAUAAGACGAGAAGACCCUAUGGAGCUUUAAAUUUAAAUUAAUUAUAUUUAUUAAGAUAUAAUAAAUAAUAUAACCAGAAAUUUUAGGUUGGGGCGACCACGGAGCAAACUUUAACCUCCGAGAUAAAUAAUUAAGAAAUACAUUUCAAAAUAAUAAAAUAUUAAUAUGUUUGAUCCAAUAUUUGAUCAACGAACUAGUUACCCUAGGGAUAACAGCGCAAUCUCCUCAAAGAGUUCAUAUCGAUGAGUAGGUUUACGACCUCGAUGUUGGAUCAGGACUUCCCAAUGGUGCAGCAACUAUUAAAGGUUCGUUUGUUCAACGAUUAAAGUCCU